GACAGAGGGUGCAAACGUUGUUCGGAAUUACUGGGCGUAAAGCGCGUGUAGGCGGUUGGGUAAGUCGGAUGUGAAAGCCCCGGGCUCAACCCGGGAAGUGCAUUCGAUACUACUUGGCUAGAGUACUGGAGAGGAUGGUGGAACUCUCGGUGUAGAGGUGAAAUUCGUAGAUAUCGAGAAGAACACCGGCGGCGAAGGCGGCCAUCUGGACAGAUACUGACGCUGAGACGCGAAAGCGUGGGGAGCAAAC
RNAcentral lists this ribosomal RNA (250 nucleotides) under uncultured bacterium. RNAcentral's name for it is "partial 16S ribosomal RNA". It matches the Rfam family "Bacterial small subunit ribosomal RNA", at positions 524 to 773 of the family's 1533-position model. The record is from RNAcentral.